RNAcentral lists this ribosomal RNA (389 nucleotides) under uncultured bacterium. RNAcentral describes it as "bacterial SSU rRNA". It matches the Rfam family "Bacterial small subunit ribosomal RNA", at positions 29 to 418 of the family's 1533-position model. The record is from RNAcentral.
AUUGAACGCUGGCGGAAUGCUUUACACAUGCAAGUCGAGCGGCAGCGCGGGGCAACCUGGCGGCGAGCGGCGAACGGGUGAGUAAUGCAUCGGAACGUACCCAGUCGUGGGGGAUAACUGUCCGAAAGGACAGCUAAUACCGCAUACGUCCUGAGGGAGAAAGCGGGGGAGUCGCAAGACCUCGCGCGAUUGGAGCGGCCGAUGCCGGAUUAGCUAGUUGGUAGGGUAAAGGCCUACCAAGGCGACGAUCCGCAGCUGGUCUGAGAGGACGACCAGCCACACUGGAACUGAGACACGGUCCAGACUCCUACGGGAGGCAGCAGUGGGGAAUUUUUGGACAAUGGGGGCGAACCCUGAUCCAGCCAUUCCGCGUGAGUGAAGAAGGCCUC